CAGUCGCCGCGGGAAUACGUAGGUCCCGAGCGUUGUCCGGAUUUAUUGGGCGUAAAGCGAGCGCAGGCGGUUAGAUAAGUCUGAAGUUAAAGGCUGUGGCUUAACCAUAGUACGCUUUGGAAACUGUUUAACUUGAGUGCAAGAGGGGAGAGUGGAAUUCCAUGUGUAGCGGGAAAUGCGUAGAUAUAUGGAGGAACACCGGUGGCGAAAGCGGCUCUCUGGCUUGUAACUGACGCUGAGGCUCGAAAGCGUGGGGAGCAAACAGGAUUAGAUACCCCAGUAGUCCCUGUCUCUUAUACAC
This 301-nucleotide ribosomal RNA is filed under the name uncultured bacterium. RNAcentral's name for it is "partial 16S ribosomal RNA". It matches the Rfam family "Bacterial small subunit ribosomal RNA", at positions 509 to 809 of the family's 1533-position model. The record is from RNAcentral.